This 658-nucleotide long non-coding RNA is filed under the name Solanum tuberosum (potato). RNAcentral's name for it is "long non-coding RNA (STUB_LNC011724)". The record is from RNAcentral. Lineage: Eukaryota; Viridiplantae; Streptophyta; Magnoliopsida; Solanales; Solanaceae.
GAAAAAAGGCUCUCAACUGUUUGCGAGACAGUGAUGGAUAAAUGUUUGGCCCCAGCCACGGGUGGAGAAGGAUGCGACAACAUGACCAUGAUCUUGGUACAAUUCAAGAAACCUUCCACGAUCUCCACAGUGAUCAAGGAGCAACCACUGGCCUCUAAUCAAUAUUCUGAGUGUAACGGAAGCACAGUAACAUCUAACGAUAUGCCAUAGUAGGAUCUCACUAUAAUGAUAAUGCAGCUAAAAAAGCCUGAAACCAAUGGCAACACUUAUCAACUCCUACACAGGAAGAGUCAUGCUGUCGCUGUAAGCUUUUGAAGUUUUGAUAGAUAAAAAGGUAGCGUUUUAGAUAAUAUCUGAAGAUCUGUUCUGUAUAGGUUCAAAUAGGCCAAUAAUGUACACGGGACAAAAAUGUUUUCAGUUUAGUGGAAUUGAUGAGUGUAGCAUUUUCCCUGUUGUAGAGAGAAGAACCAUUAGUUGAAAUACUUAAAUGUGGAUUUUGAUUGUUUGCUCUGCGGAGAACGCCAAUACACAGUAAGAUAUCAUGCUGUUUUUGCAAUAACUUUUGUACUGGGAAGUGAGUUGUGUCUUUUGUUCCAAUUAACUACGAACUCUUUUGGUAUGGAGAUUGUAAUUUGGUCAUGUCAAAUCUAACUAGCAC